This 208-nucleotide long non-coding RNA is filed under the name Lathyrus oleraceus (garden pea). RNAcentral's name for it is "Pisum sativum (pea) long non-coding RNA (PSAT_LNC033839)". The record is from RNAcentral. Lineage: Eukaryota; Viridiplantae; Streptophyta; Magnoliopsida; Fabales; Fabaceae.
CAUUCAUCAACUUCAGGAAAGAGGAUCCCCAAUUACCCUUCAACCAAUUCAUCAUAGUUGCAUCAAAUUCAUUCAUUGUUCAUCUCCAAUCACACUCCCUGAAUUCGAUUCUUUCAACCAAUUCAGAACCACUCAUCAAUUUUUCAUUCAAUCAUCUUCAACUCUCUCAUAAUCCAUUUUCCACAAAAUUCAUCAUCACUGAAUCCUC